This 583-nucleotide long non-coding RNA is filed under the name Mytilus galloprovincialis (Mediterranean mussel). Lineage: Eukaryota; Metazoa; Mollusca; Bivalvia; Mytilida; Mytilidae. The record is from RNAcentral.
UGUUGUUGGAAGAAUUUUGUUAAAUACAGAAUGACUGGAGAAUUUCAGCAAAAGUAUCAUAAGUCAUAGGUUAUUGGGGACAGGAAAAUGUUUUUUUUACCCUCCACCUUUAUUUCCAAAGUUCCCAAUUUUGGUUUUCUAUCAAUUUCAAUAUGAACAUACAUUUAGUAUGUUAUGAACAUUUAUUUAAGUAAGGAGCCUGUAAUUCAGUGGUUGUCGUUUGUUUAUGUGUUACAUAUUUGUUUUUCGUUCGAUUUUUUGUACAUAAAUAAGGCCGCUAGUUUUCUCGUUUGCAUUGUUUUACAUUGUCAUUUCGGGGCCUUUUGAAGCUGAGUAUGCGGUAUGGGCUUUGCUCUUUGUUGAAGGCCGUACGGUAACCUAUAAUUGUUAAUUUCUGUGUCAUUUUGGUCUCUUGUGGAGAGUUGUCUCAACAUGGCAAUCAUACCACAUCUUCUUUUUUUUUGUAUCAAAAGUUCACAUGAAAAAUUUUAGCGCUUAUCUGUAUAUUAUGAACAUUCAUUACUAUAUAAAUAACGCGUAUUUACUUUCAAUUCUAAGUUUACUAAUCAAUCCAUGGUGAUCA